AUGAGUCAAACCUAAGCAUUCGGCAUUGGGAGCACUGUCACUAAAACUGCAGCCUCAUUCAACAACACAUCCUUAUCGAGCACUUGCAGGUACUCCAUUGAAUGUUAGAAAUGCAUUGAUGAUGGAGACACAGCACCGGCUCAUGAGGACCUUCCAGCCUAGGCAGCAGGACUGGACAUACGCACUUUGGUAGAUUUAUUUUUAGAAAUUGGCUUAUGCAAGUGUGGGGCUGGCAAGUCUAACAACUGCAGGGCAGGUCAGGAGGCUGGAGACCCAGGGAAGAGUUGAUGCUGCAGUCUCUAGUCUGAAGGCAGUGCAGAGGCAGAAUUCCCUCUUUCUCGGAGGAUCUCAGGCUUUUUCUCCUAAGUCCUUCAACCAAGUGGAUGAGGCCACCCGCAUUAGAGAAG
Molecule: long non-coding RNA, 407 nt
Filed under: Homo sapiens (human)
Lineage: Eukaryota; Metazoa; Chordata; Mammalia; Primates; Hominidae
Description: non-protein coding LINC02150:10
Source: RNAcentral